This is a long non-coding RNA of Crotalus tigris (Tiger rattlesnake), 628 nucleotides long. RefSeq lists it as uncharacterized. The transcript has 2 exons. Lineage: Eukaryota; Metazoa; Chordata; Lepidosauria; Squamata; Viperidae. The record is from RefSeq and is a predicted model, not a curated record.
UAGAGAAGUUGCUUAGUGAGAAAGAAUCUGUUUUCCACAGAAGAGGAAGAAAAGUAACUACAGUGCCAAAUCCUGAGGGAACUUAUUAGAUCCUUGAAGAGCUUCAGCGACGGCCGAAAGCCAUGUUUGCCGGCAGAGCGAUUCAUCUUAGCUGGAUACGAAGCCCAGGCAAGACAGAGGAACACCCUGAAGACUGGACUCCGGCGUUCUCCGAUAAUGGCAGAAAUGCAUCUGAGCAGCAAAUCCUUAUUCGCCUGCCCAUAAUUUUGCUGCUUUAAGACUUUUUUUCCCCAUUAAAACUCACUACCGCCGUCCUGGGCAAAUGGCACGACUCGCCUUGAUCCUUCUUUUCUUCCAAGACUUUGAAAACAUGGGCUGCCAAAUAAAGGAAAAGAUGGAUUUUCUUGUUUGUCUAUUUUGAAUGAGCCCAGGGGAAGACCAUAUGAAAAAAGAAAAAACUUCUGGGUUUUAGGGCGAGCCUCUCCAGCUUCUGCCAGGAGAUUGCUGGUCCUAGCGAUGCCUCAAAAGUUAAAGGGUGAUGGGUGGUUAAGGAAGAAAGGAAAGAUGGAAAGAAGGAUGGAAGGAGAAAGAAAGAAAAAGAAAGAAAGAGAAAGAAAAAAAGAAAGAG